GCUUCCGAGACUGGUGGAUAUUUUUUCAAACUCUCUCGGGUGUCACCUAAAACCCGCCGCGUGUCGCCGCUGACAUGCCAGACCUCCAGCAUCGAUGUGAUUCCUCGAUGGUUCUUAAGCAAGUUAAGGGGACUUCAAGGGUGGCCUAGUUGCUUGUGAAUAUGGAAACGCCAACCAAACUAUGGAGUGCGUACUGCCGUUGCCUGCUUCUCUGCUUCCCAAUUCUUGCAGCUCAAAAGAUGUUGUCGGAAUGCAAAGAGGUCGGGUGCAGUUAUAUAACUGCCGUACUUGCUUCGGUAAAACAAGAAGGAAUUAAAAAAAAAAAUCACAUCACCAAAUCUUAUUAAAAGAGUGACUUUUAAUAUAGUCUUUCCAAGAAACCAUUCUAGCCGGGUGCAGAGAUGAAGAUAUAAGACCUUUAGAUAUCCAAAUUCUUCAAGUGAAUUAAGAACUCUAGUAGCGCUUUUUAAUUAGGCAAAAAACCUCUACAUUUUAGUAUGUGUGAAUAAAUUCUAACACAAAAAUGUACUUAAAAAAUAGAAUCGCAAACACACAUCCACAUAAAAAGCGCAGACAUAAACACGUGUAAAGGCACACAAUUACAAAUAUAAAGAAAUAAGCACAAGCGUUUAAAUGCAAACGCACACACAUACAAUCACAUGCAAACAAAUAAACACAAAGGUAUAAACAAAAACAAACAAAUAUGCAGACCAAAUUAUAUAUAAACGCACAUAAACAACCCCAAACGUAGAUGAAUAUAUCUCACACAAAAGACAUCACCAAUAAACACACGCUUAACGAAGCAAUAUUCUAUUAUUCUGUUAUUCUAUUCUGUCGACACCCUACGGAAUACUGGUUUAUAAAAACAGAACACAAUUCUCGCUCCUGUUCUCAACAUGGCUUCUGCAGUCGCUCCUGUCGCGGUUUCUCCUUUAAUCAAAUUCUGCAGAUAUACUGCUCUGUUCAGUGGUAUUUUGUAUGGUCACUUCAGAUACAAAUCCCUUUCUAAGAAAGAAGUUGUUAUUCAGGAAGAGGAGAACAAAAUCCGUGCUAUCCGGGAUGCUAGGAUCAAACAAGAGACUGAUGCUGCUGUAGCAGCUGAAAUGGCAGUUUUAGGAAAAGAAUUUGGUGUGACAAAAUAAUUGUAGCCAUCUAUAGUUUUUGUAUCCACCUUGUAUUUGACUGAUUUGUUUUACUAUGUAUAGACAUUAAAAGACAAUAAAGUGCGGAUAAAUGUUUGAAAA
Molecule: unclassified non-coding RNA, 1244 nt
Organism: Octopus bimaculoides (California two-spot octopus)
Lineage: Eukaryota; Metazoa; Mollusca; Cephalopoda; Octopoda; Octopodidae
Source: RefSeq, a predicted model, not a curated record